Long non-coding RNA from Xiphophorus couchianus (Monterrey platyfish), 406 nucleotides. RefSeq lists it as uncharacterized. The record is from RefSeq and is a predicted model, not a curated record. The transcript has 2 exons. NCBI's taxonomy places the organism in Eukaryota, Metazoa, Chordata, Actinopteri, Cyprinodontiformes, Poeciliidae.
AGAAGAGAGGGAGGACUUUAGGAGUGAACAAAGAAAAUGGCAGAUGUAAAGGCAGAGACGCAGGAGCCCCAAGGCUCCUUACACGAGGGAGGGAACAACUAGAGCAUGAGGUGCGGGGCAGGAAUGCUGAAAACAGGCUUAUAUGGCGUUGUUUUCUUUAUCUAGACUUAAUCAGGCCUGGACGACACUGAAACUAAAGUCAGUCAUCUUUUCCCGGCUUUGGGAACCGUGUCCAGGUUUCCUCGCUUUUCCUCGGCUGUGCACGAAGCGUGGGGGGCCUGUGAGGGUUGUUUCUCGCCGGCUGCUCACCGCCACGGAGGCUGCAGAGCGCGUUUCCUAUCAUCUCCGACCGGAGCAGAGCCCAACUCGGGUCGGAUCAAAUAAGAUCACUGUGUAGGUUAUAACA